Molecule: ribosomal RNA, 468 nt
Filed under: Triticum aestivum (bread wheat)
Lineage: Eukaryota; Viridiplantae; Streptophyta; Magnoliopsida; Poales; Poaceae
Description: partial small subunit ribosomal RNA
Source: RNAcentral
AUGCUUUUUUGCAAAAAAGCCCUAUGGUUUGCUAAAAUCAACCCGCAGUACUACAGGAAUCAAGUAAAAAAAUUCUCUCGUUGGUACAAUUCCUCGCUCCAGUCCGAGGCCACCGCCGUCGCCCUGCCCGGCCUUGCCCGCGCCACCAUCGCCCUGCCCGUUCUUUCCCGGCGCCGUGCGCGCCCGCCGCCCUACCAGGCUGCACCUGUCGUCGUGCCAGGUCGCGCCCGCCGCCCUGCUAGCGUUCCAUUGGCCUGCGCCCGCCCAGCUCCCGCUCACACCACCGCCGACCGCGCCCUCGCCCGCUUCCAUGCCCGGCCUCGCCCGCCUCCAUGCCCGGUUUCUCCGGACGCGGAACUGACAGAGGAUGAUAGGCGGCCGGCGUGCUCUCUUGGGGCGAGGCGUUGCGGCACGCCGGUGACAUGCGAGGGUUGUGCGACAAGGGAAACAAAAGAAGGGAAAACAUAG